RNAcentral lists this ribosomal RNA (1246 nucleotides) under uncultured Psychrobacter sp. RNAcentral describes it as "bacterial SSU rRNA". It matches the Rfam family "Bacterial small subunit ribosomal RNA", at positions 242 to 1476 of the family's 1533-position model. Lineage: Bacteria; Pseudomonadati; Pseudomonadota; Gammaproteobacteria; Moraxellales; Moraxellaceae. The record is from RNAcentral.
UAGCUAGAUGGUGGGGUAAAGGCCUACCAUGGCGACGAUCCGUAGCUGGUCUGAGAGGAUGAUCAGCCACACCGGGACUGAGACACGGCCCGGACUCCUACGGGAGGCAGCAGUGGGGAAUAUUGGACAAUGGGGGAAACCCUGAUCCAGCCAUGCCGCGUGUGUGAAGAAGGCCUUUUGGUUGUAAAGCACUUUAAGCAGUGAAGAAGACUCCAUGGUUAAUACCCAUGGACGAUGACAUUAGCUGCAGAAUAAGCACCGGCUAACUCUGUGCCAGCAGCCGCGGUAAUACAGAGGGUGCAAGCGUUAAUCGGAAUUACUGGGCGUAAAGGGAGCGUAGGUGGCUCUAUAAGUCAGAUGUGAAAUCCCCGGGCUUAACCUGGGAACUGCAUCUGAAACUGUAGAGCUAGAGUAUGUGAGAGGAAGGUAGAAUUCCAGGUGUAGCGGUGAAAUGCGUAGAGAUCUGGAGGNAAUACCGAUGGCGAAGGCAGUCUUCUGGCAUAAUACUGACACUGAGGCUCGAAAGCGUGGGUAGCAAACAGGAUUAGAUACCCUGGUAGUCCACGCCGUAAACGAUGUCUACUAGUCGUUGGGUCCCUUGAGGACUUAGUGACGCAGCUAACGCAAUAAGUAGACCGCCUGGGGAGUACGNGNCCNGCNAAGGUUAAAACUCAAAUGAAUUGACGGGGGCCCGCACAAGCGGUGGAGCAUGUGGUUUAAUUCGAUGCAACGCGAAGAACCUUACCUGGUCUUGACAUAUCUAGAAUCCUGCAGAGAUGCGGGAGUGCCUUCGGGAAUUAGAAUACAGGUGCUGCAUGGCUGUCGUCAGCUCGUGUCGUGAGAUGUUGGGUUAAGUCCCGCAACGAGCGCAACCCUUGUCCUUAGUUACCAGCGGGUUAAGCCGGGAACUCUAAGGAUACUGCCAGUGACAAACUGGAGGAAGGCGGGGACGACGUCAAGUCAUCAUGGCCCUUACGACCAGGGCUACACACGUGCUACAAUGGUAGGUACAGAGGGCAGCUACACAGCGAUGUGAUGCGAAUCUCAAAAGCCUAUCGUAGUCCAGAUUGGAGUCUGCAACUCGACUCCAUGAAGUAGGAAUCGCUAGUAAUCGCGGAUCAGAAUGCCGCGGUGAAUACGUUCCCGGGCCUUGUACACACCGCCCGUCACACCAUGGGAGUUGAUUGCACCAGAAGUGGAUAGCUUAACCUUCGGGGGAGCGUUCACCACGGUGUGGUUGAUGACU